GUAAAGCUACAUACGAAUAUUAUAUUUGGUUAAUUAAUAAAAAUUAUAUAGUUUUAUUUUUGUAGUAGUUAGGACUAUGAGUAUAAAGAAAUUUAAUAAUGGUUACUAAGUCGUUAGAAGAGACUAAAUCACAGUGCCAGCAGUCGCGGUUAAACUGUUUACUUCUCGUUUUAUUUGUAGGUUUAAAGAAUUAUUAAAUAAGCUAGAAAGUGUGUUAGUAAAAUAGGCUUUUGUCGGAAAAGAGUUUAAUAAUUUUUUUAGAGAGUCUAAGAAAAAUGGGGAUUGGAGACCCCUUUAUUGGACUUCGAAAUUUUAGUCCACAGUUAGAAACUGAAAGGGUUUGGCGGUAAACUAGAUUCGUCCGGGGGAAUGUGCAUAUUAAAGAGAUGAUCCGCUAAUUAUUUUACUAUAAUGAUUUCAGUUAGUGUAUAUCCGUUUGUAGAUUUACGUCGAGAGACAUUAAGUGAGUAGUAAUUAAAUAAUUUAAGACAGGUCUAUAUGCUGCUAAUAUUAUAGGUGGUUGUGCGUUACAAUAAUAAGUUAAGUGGAUGAAAUUCGCUUAAAAAUUUAGGACUCGGAAGUAGGAGUAAAAU
Molecule: ribosomal RNA, 593 nt
Filed under: Schistosoma mattheei
Lineage: Eukaryota; Metazoa; Platyhelminthes; Trematoda; Strigeidida; Schistosomatidae
Description: partial 12S ribosomal RNA
Source: RNAcentral